Molecule: long non-coding RNA, 344 nt
Filed under: Bos taurus (domestic cattle)
Lineage: Eukaryota; Metazoa; Chordata; Mammalia; Artiodactyla; Bovidae
Description: long non-coding RNA NONBTAT013499
Source: RNAcentral
UGCUGUCAUAAGUGAGACGAGCUGAGUCACCAUAAGAUGCCCGGGACGCCAUGAACUGGAUGCUCACCAGCCGGGGGAGCCUGCGAUGCACUUAGGCUGUUUCCGGACAGCUCACAGUCGUCACGACAGGGUAAAGACUAGGUCGGCACAGAUGACUUCAUAUUCCUUUGUAAUUCUUCUGCUUCUCCAUCAAGUAGGUACCCAUGCUUGAUAUCCUAGUCCUUGGCCCUCUUUAAACAUUUUUUCCCUCCUAGGUCAUUCUUUCUUCCUGGCGUUCAGAGAAAUGGUUAAUCCUGAGAGAGGAAGCCGAGGACUGAGUUUUGUUAGUCCUGGCAAAAACUCUA